Aethalodelphis obliquidens (Pacific white-sided dolphin) is the source of this 189-nucleotide long non-coding RNA. RefSeq lists it as uncharacterized. The transcript has 2 exons. The record is from RefSeq and is a predicted model, not a curated record. Lineage: Eukaryota; Metazoa; Chordata; Mammalia; Artiodactyla; Delphinidae.
GCGGUACGCAGGCCUCUCACUGUUGUGGCUUCUCCCGUUGCGGAGCACAGGCUCCAGACCCACAGGCUCAGUGGCCAUGGCCCACGGGCCCAGCCGCACCGCAGCACGUGGGAACUUCCCGUACUGGGACACGAACCCGUGUCCCCUGCAUCAGCAGGUGGACUCUCAACCACUGCGCCACCAGGGAAG